GAUGAACGCUGGCGGCGUGCCUAAUACAUGCAAGUCGAGCGAACAGAUGAGGAGCUUGCUCCUCUGACGUUAGCGGCGGACGGGUGAGUAACACGUGGAUAACCUACCUAUAAGACUGGGAUAACUUCGGGAAACCGGAGCUAAUACCGGAUAAUAUAUUGAACCGCAUGGUUCAAUAGUGAAAGACGGUUUUGCUGUCACUUAUAGAUGGAUCCGCGCCGCAUUAGCUAGUUGGUAAGGUAACGGCUUACCAAGGCAACGAUGCGUAGCCGACCUGAGAGGGUGAUCGGCCACACUGGAAGUGAGACACGGUCCAGACUCCGACGGUAGGCAGCAGUAGGGAAUCCUCCGCAAUGGGCGAAUGCCUGACGGAGCAAAGUCGCGUGAGUGAUGAAGGUGUUCUGAUCGUAAAGCUCUGUUAUUAGGGAAGAUCAAAUGUGUAAGUAACUAUGCACGUCUUGACGGUACCUAAUCAGAAAGCCACGGCUAACUACGUG
Molecule: ribosomal RNA, 497 nt
Filed under: uncultured bacterium
Lineage: Bacteria
Description: partial 16S ribosomal RNA
Rfam family: Bacterial small subunit ribosomal RNA
Source: RNAcentral